Molecule: transfer RNA, 75 nt
Filed under: archaeon
Lineage: Archaea
Also listed under: 1 other name
Description: tRNA-Asn
Rfam family: tRNA
About the family: Transfer RNA (tRNA) molecules are approximately 80 nucleotides in length. Their secondary structure includes four short double-helical elements and three loops (D, anti-codon, and T loops).
Source: RNAcentral
GUCUCCGUAGCACAGUUGGUAGAUUGCGUCGGGUUGUUACCCCGAAGGUGGUAGGUUCGAGCCCUACCGGGGACG